RNAcentral lists this long non-coding RNA (390 nucleotides) under Helianthus annuus (common sunflower). Its description in RNAcentral is "sRNA HanXRQr2_Chr06g0266331". Lineage: Eukaryota; Viridiplantae; Streptophyta; Magnoliopsida; Asterales; Asteraceae. The record is from RNAcentral.
UAUAUACAUGGCCAUAGACGUGCAUAAUUGGAGGCUGCCAUACGACAUCGAACGUGAAUCAGACGCACGAAUGGAAAAAAAGAAAAGAAACGAAAAGAGAAUAUAUUAGUGGUGGAGUUCGAUCAGCAGAGAAGAAAAAGAAUUGGUUCUGGAUCAGGAUUCAAGUGGGGUUCGCAAACGUACUUGUUUCUUGUUUUUGACUAUGGUUCUUGGCUACCAAAGUGAAGAGAUUGAGUAAGGUGACAUAAAAGAAGAAGAAAAUGUGAGGAAAUAAGAAUGCAGGAAAAAAGAAUGACUGUGUUAAGACAGUUGUGGAAACAACAUGCAUCCGGUAUAAAAACCUAACUUGACAUUUGUUUGAACUUGGUGUUAGCAUUCCAUAUAGGUUCA